This 590-nucleotide ribosomal RNA is filed under the name uncultured archaeon. RNAcentral describes it as "bacterial SSU rRNA". It matches the Rfam family "Archaeal small subunit ribosomal RNA", at positions 320 to 910 of the family's 1478-position model. The record is from RNAcentral.
GCCCUACGGGGUGCAGCAGGCGCGAAAACUUUACAAUGCUGGCAACAGCGAUAAGGGAACCUCGAGUGCCAGGUUACAAAUCUGGCUGUCGAGAUGCCUAAAAAGCAUUUCAUAGCAAGGGCCGGGCAAGACCGGUGCCAGCCGCCGCGGUAACACCGGCGGCUCGAGUGGUAACCGUUAUUAUUGGGUCUAAAGGGUCUGUAGCCGGCCGGAUAAGUCUCUUGAGAAAUCUGGCAGCUUAACUGUCAGGCUUUCAGGAGAUACUGUCUGGCUCGAGGCCGGGAGAGGUGAGAGGUACUUCAGGGGUAGGGGUGAAAUCUUGUAAUCCUUGAAGGACCACCAGUGGCGAAGGCGCCUCACCAGAACGGCUUCGACAGUGAGGGACGAAAGCUGGGGGAGCAAACCGGAUUAGAUACCCGGGUAGUCCCAGCCGUAAACUAUGCGCGUUAGGUGUAUCGGUGACCACGAGUUACCGAGGUGCCGAAGGGAAACCGUGAAACGUGCCGCCUGGGAAGUACGGUCGCAAGGCUGAAACUUAAAGGAAUUGGCGGGGGAGCACCACAACAGGUGGAGCCUGCGGUGUAAUUGGA